AUGCACGCUGGCGGCGUGCCUAAUACAUGCAAGUCGAGCGAACGGACGAGAAGCUUGCUUUUCUGAUGUUAGCGGCGGACGGGUGAGUAACACGUGGAUAACCUACCUAUAAGACUGGGAUAACUUCGGGAAACCGGAGCUAAUACCGGAUAAUAUUUUGAACCGCAUGGUUCAAAAGUGAAAGACGGUCUUGCUGUCACUUAUAGAUGGAUCCGCGCUGCAUUAGCUAGUUGGUAAGGUAACGGCUUACCAAGGCAACGAUGCAUAGCCGACCUGAGAGGGUGAUCGGCCACACUGGAACUGAGACACGGUCCAGACUCCUACGGGAGGCAGCAGUAGGGAAUCUUCCGCAAUGGGCGAAAGCCUGACGGAGCAACGCCGCGUGAGUGAUGAAGGUCUUCGGAUCGUAAAACUCUGUUAUUAGGGAAGAACAUAUGUGUAAGUAACUGUGCACACCUUGACGGUACCUAAUCAGAAAGCCACGGCUAACUACGUG
Molecule: ribosomal RNA, 496 nt
Filed under: uncultured bacterium
Lineage: Bacteria
Description: partial 16S ribosomal RNA
Rfam family: Bacterial small subunit ribosomal RNA
Source: RNAcentral